GGAUUACGGUGGCGGCCUAAGC
This 22-nucleotide non-coding RNA is filed under the name Arabidopsis thaliana (thale cress). Lineage: Eukaryota; Viridiplantae; Streptophyta; Magnoliopsida; Brassicales; Brassicaceae. The record is from RNAcentral.